This 243-nucleotide ribosomal RNA is filed under the name uncultured bacterium. Its description in RNAcentral is "partial 16S ribosomal RNA". It matches the Rfam family "Bacterial small subunit ribosomal RNA", at positions 535 to 776 of the family's 1533-position model. The record is from RNAcentral.
CUAGCGUUGCUCGGAAUCACUGGGCGUAAAGCGCACGUAGGCGGAUAUUUAAGUCGGUGGUGAAAUCCUGGAGCUCAACUCCAGAACUGCCUCCGAUACUGAAUGUCUUCGAGUCCGGGAGAGGUGAGUGGAACUGCGAGUGUAGAGGUGAAAUUCGUAGAUAUUCGCAAGAACACCAGUGGCGAAGGCGGCUCACUGGCCCGGUACUGACGCUGAGGUGCGAAAGCGUGGGGAGCGAACAGG